RNAcentral lists this ribosomal RNA (301 nucleotides) under uncultured bacterium. Its description in RNAcentral is "partial 16S ribosomal RNA". It matches the Rfam family "Bacterial small subunit ribosomal RNA", at positions 509 to 809 of the family's 1533-position model. The record is from RNAcentral.
CAGCCGCCGCGGGAAUACAGAGGCCUCAAGCGUUGUUCGGAUUCAUUGGGCGUAAAGGGUGCGUAGGUGGCUUGGUAAGUUGAAGGUGAAAUCUCGGGGCUUAACCCCGAAACUGCCUUCAAUACUGCUAGGCUCGAGGACUGUAGAGGAGAAUGGAAUUCACGGUGUAGCAGUGAAAUGCGUAGAUAUCGUGAGGAAGACCAGUGGCGAAGGCGAUUCUCUGGGCAGUUCCUGACACUGAGGCACGAAGGCCAGGGGAGCAAACGGGAUUAGAUACCCCCGUAGUCCCUGUCUCUUAUAA